RNAcentral lists this transfer RNA (74 nucleotides) under Mycobacteroides abscessus subsp. abscessus. Its description in RNAcentral is "tRNA-Arg(tct)". It matches the Rfam family "tRNA". From Rfam's summary of the family: Transfer RNA (tRNA) molecules are approximately 80 nucleotides in length. Lineage: Bacteria; Bacillati; Actinomycetota; Actinomycetes; Mycobacteriales; Mycobacteriaceae. The record is from RNAcentral.
GCCUCCGUAGCUCAGCGGACAGAGCGCCGGCCUUCUACUCUGGUGGUCGCUGGUUCGAAUCCAGCCGGGGGCAC